UACGGGGGGUGCGAGCGUUGUCCGGAUUCACUGGGCGUAAAGGGCGCGUAGGCGGCUUGUUCAGUCCGGUCUUUAAGAGCGGGGCUCACCCCCGUGGUGGACCGGGGACGGAUGAGCUGGGGCGCGGUAGGGGAGACUGGAAUUCCUGGUGUAGCGGUGAAAUGCGCAGAUAUCAGGAGGAACACCGGUGGCGAAGGCGGGUCUCUGGGCCGUAACUGACGCUGAGGAGCGAAAGCAUGGGGAGCGAACAGG
RNAcentral lists this ribosomal RNA (252 nucleotides) under uncultured bacterium. RNAcentral's name for it is "partial 16S ribosomal RNA". It matches the Rfam family "Bacterial small subunit ribosomal RNA", at positions 524 to 776 of the family's 1533-position model. The record is from RNAcentral.